AUUAGCAUGUUUGGGAUCCACUACUGGAUGGUUAACAGCAGCUUUUGUAACUGUACGCCGACCAUAUCGAAUUAUGCUCUGCUAAAAAUGAACUCUUUGCAGACCAACCCUCUCGGCUGUCAGUGUUUUCCGUUUUCCUAUUUUAACGUUUGUGUAUAGUGGCAGGCGACAGAUGGUGUAGAUCAGAUCGAUUUGAUUGCAUUAGAUGAUUUUUUCCCUUCCCCACUCCUUUCUGGAAGCUCGCAUCAGCUGAAGGCUAUCGCCUGGGACUCCUCGGAAGCAUGAGCAAGCCGCCACCACGCGAAGGCACUGGGGCACAGCCAGCGCGAGGCGCCGAGGUCCCUUCCCAAGGCUUGUUAACACUGUAACCCGGCACUCGGAGAGAAGAAGCAGCUCACACUGCCCAGAGCCUACCUCACUGCACAUCAGAUGACUCCCUGGCUUCUACACACAGUUGGAGUUCCGCUUGAAACCUGGAUUUAGAGGAGGGUUCUCUGGCCGCCAUGGCACUCAAUCAUACCACCUAGAGUGGACUGGCCGAGACCAGACUGGGUACCAAGCAGAGAAGUGCAGAGGAAAGCACUGGGAGAGCACCAGAAUUGGAAAUAGAGCGGCCAUUUGGAUUUGGGCAGGAAGCAGCCGAGCACAGCUUUGGAUCCUUCUUUAGGGAAAUCGAGUUAUGGAUUUAUGGUCCCGGUCAAGCUCAGCCCAUCCCGCAGUAGCAGCGGCAGCGGUAGCAGCGGCAGCGGUAGCAGCGGCAGCGGCAGCUUGGUCCUCUGACUCUCUUCGGUGACGGGUAUUCUUGGGUGGAUAAUACGGAUUACGUUGUUAUUGCUUAAGAAUACGCGUAGUCGAGGAGAGUACCAGCGGCAGGGGGGCAGCGGCCGCCCUCCCCAGCCCACCAGCUGGCCACUAAACGCCCGUGGUUGCCAAGGCGGGGAGCGGAAGGGGGUCCGUUUCCCCGAGCCUGCGGGGCGGUUCGGCGUUCCCAGUCCGCUCCUCUCCUCUCCACGGUGGGGUGCGGCUGGAGGGAGAGACGCGGACGGGGCGAUUUUCUAAAGUUGGGAACGACUGAAAGGCCUUGAGCAGUUUGGGAGCGUCGCGAGUGAGGCGCCGAAGCUGGGCAGAGGGUCGCUGGGGGCUGCCUCCGCAGAAAGGGCGUGUCCGUGGGCGAAGGUGAGGACGAGUCUCAAACACCAACAAACGCAAGGCACGUCCCCCCUCUCAGGUCAGCUGCGAAGGCGUGGGAGCAAGAGAGAGCCUCUCCCUCCUUCUACUUAGAGUUUUUGUUUGUUUGUUUGUUUGUUUGUUUCAAAUAUUAAUGGACGAUAAAACAACACGGAUUUGUCACCUCCUAGCGAAGAGGAAGCCACCGCCACCACACCCCUCAAGCAUGCCUGGGCACUCCUGGGGACAAUCGGACGUGGCAGGAGUUGGCAUGCCCAAGAUGAAGCUGGGAAGGAUGACCCAGAGUGGAAGGCGUGGGCUGGGGCUCCAGGUCUCAGCUCUCGCCAGCGUCGGACCACACAGCUUUGCCAGCUUUGCACCUUGCCUUUCCUUCUUGUGAGGCAUCUGGGACCGUCCUAUCAAGGCGCUUCAAAGGUGGAAGGACAGAGUGCUGGGGACAAGAACGUACCAGGCGCCCAGAAGAUUCCACUAGCGCGGCCAAACACUAAGACCAGGUUUCCUCCCUGCGUGGUGGUCGUUGGUUGUGAAGGAAGCAGGCACACUCUCAUGCUUCCCCACCUAGGGUUUCGCCUUUCUUCUAAUAUUUAGGAUUCCCAGUGAAGGGUACUCCACACACACCCUCUGCCUACCCCUAAUCCCACCCCAUUGUGUCUGAUCCCACAAUUACUCCCAGGGUAUCUAUACUCACAGCUUUUGCGCUCAAAGAACAUUGUCGUCUGCAGGGAACGGGUGGAGCCCUUCUCAGAAGCUCCCGGGGGCGAGUCCAUUUUAAGAAUGAGUUGAAGUAGGAAAGAAAACACAGAUGCUGUCUUUGCAUUCGACAUUCUAUCACCAGCAAGAGAAUAUGUAACUCCUGUUCUUUCCUUCAUUAUUCCAUGAAUUACCUUUUUUCUCUAGGGAUCUACCAGUUGGUGAUUUAGGGCUUUUAAAUAUUAUGCUUGUUAUGUAUUUAACAAAAUGCAAUAUGUCUACUGGUGGCAUUGUUUCCUUGGGAAAUUAGAAAAGUAGAAGCUACAUACUCUAGUUCCUAGGUGGUCUCUGGAAAGUUGGCCUCAUGCUGGUUGGCUAAAUAAUAAGUGUUUAGGAUUUGAAAGGAAGAAAGAGAGCUGAAGUCCUGGUGACAGAGUUUGUGCAAAUUUAUUGCAGUUGCUUCAUAGAGGAAGAAUAAUGUUGAGAAUGGAAUAAUUGCAAAUGCUAGUGAUGAAAUCUAAAGGAAACCUCUACUCAUAGUUAACUGAAAGUAUUUUUGUUGUUGUUGUUUAAAUACUUAUCUCAUUGCUUUCUUUCCUUUGCAGAAUUAUUUUCCUAUAAUAGUUUCCAUUAGGUGUCAGUCUGAACUGGUUCUUACUUAAGUUAGGGGUGAAAAUGUUCCAUCAUCACACCUUUUAAGAUAAGAAAGUGGGAAAAAUUAAAACUUUAUUAAGUUGAAAUUACUGGAGUUAAUUUUUAUUGUUAAAGACAGCUUUUUUAUUCCCAGAAAAAGUAAUUUUAAAUUAUGUCACCACUAGUCAAUGACUGCUUUUGCCCUGUCACUGUCCAUAGCCAUGAUUAAAGAAGUACAAAAUGCUUGUUUGUGCAUUUCAUGCUAGAUCCAAGUAGUGUUAAGUAGUCAUAAUUUUUGGAUGGCUUUUCAAUUGAUGUCCUAAGACUAGAAGGGUAAGCAGCCUUUUCUAAUAUUUCUUUUGCUUUACAAAGGUGAUAGAAAUUUUUCCUGAAAAAAGGAACAUGGAUUCAGCUUAAGCUGUUCAUUUGACAAUACUGAGAAGGAAAGACAGCAUAAGGCCAUCACAGUUGUUCACCAUCUUGUCAAUAUGUACAGGUGCAGCUACCAUUGUAUCACGGAAAUGACAGAAUGAUGUUCUUACUGUGUUGGAAAGUAGUGUAUUCUGCAUGGGAGACUUACUGUUUAAAAGUAAAUUUCUUUUGGAUAUAUUUUCCGUAAGAAGAAAAAAUAUAAUAAUGACAUCAGAAUAUUUAAAGACUUUUAAAUCAUUUAGCUAUUGAAUUUAGUUAUUGAUAGCUGUACAGCUAUAUACACAAAUGGUAAGUAGAGUUUAAGCAAAUAGCUUUGUAGUACAAUUUGUUUUUUAAAUGUUUUCAGAUUUUUAUCUUAGUGCUUAUACUUUAAAUCUUGACUUACAAGUCUUGCAUUUAAGUCUAGAAAACAUUUUGCAUGAUUGUAUAAAAUAAACAUUUUAGUUGAGGAAACACUGCAGUUCAUCCAAAAAACAUAAGCUAAAAAGAUAUAAUAUUUUAAAUUGUUUUAACUGUAGGAAGAUGAAAAACUCUAAAAGUGCUCACCAUCAGCAUAAAGUGAGGCAUUUUGAGCUCUACUGUGCAAAAUGAAAGCAUAAUAGUCACUGCAAGGAAGACUUAAAGUUCUAUUAUCCUGUCAUUUAUACUUAGAGGCACUUCAGUUUCUGGAAUAGUUUAAACAAAGGAAAUUUGGAAUGGAUUUCUCUUUAAAAUUUUGAAAACCUGGAAUCCUGAGGCUGAAAGACUACGGAAUACCUUCGACCACCUUCCAGAUAAUAUCUGGAUGGAGGAUAAUAUGUGAUGUAAUAAGCUAUAAGUGUCAAGAUAUGUGAGCAUUAAAAAAGGAAGCUGAUUUUGUGAUGCCACUUAUAUCACCUCCACUAAGGGAAUAGGUCAGCACACUGCAACUGAUUUCCCAUUUCUGCAAAACAGUGCAGUUCUGCUUCAGGCUCUGAAUUUGGGAUUUCCUGUUGAAGUCAAAACUAGGUCUAUGCUGUCCUGGGGGGUCAGGAACAAAAUAGGUUGUGAUUAUGGAAACAGUAUCUCUGGGCUCACUGCCAAAUCCUCCAAUACUCCUGGGUGUCAAUUUGACCUAUUAUAUUUCCUUUAAUGAUAAAAUGAAUGACUUUAUGAUGCUUGACUGCUCUGUAAGGUGCUAUAUAAAUGCUAAGUAUUUAUUUGUAAAGUAUAUAAACACAAACACACACAGCCAACAUCUGCUGGUUUUAUGUAGAUAUAGUGUGAAAAACUGUAAAAUUUAUAUUCAAAUUUUGAAACAUUUCCCAAAUUGUUACAAUUACAUACUUGGUCAGAGUAAUUCAAGUUCAAUAAAUCUUUCAGAUUUCUAGUAUUAAAAAAACUUUUCCCCCUUUUGCUAUAGUGUUAAUUUAAAAUAAAUGACCAAUUAUUUCUAAUAAUGAAACUUUUUUUCAAAAGCAGAAGAAAAUAGCUUUUGGGUAUUUUUAAAAAAUAAUCCACAUUGUAUACAUACAUAAAUACACACAUAUACAUCUAUUAUCUUUUGAUAAAGUCAUCUUCCAAGGAUCCCAGGGAAAGGUGACGAAUAAAAGAAACUGUAAAAUGCUCUAAGUCUCUUAAAUUUAUAGCACAGUGAUUAGUGAAAAUAUCCCUCACUCCAAUAAAUAAGAGAAAAAGGAUAUUUAUUUUGAUAGCCUGGCUUUCUAUUUUUAAAAGUCAAUUGCACCACCCCAUGGACAUUUAAGCCACUGCUAAUAAAGGCCAUUUUUCUCUGUUUUAUUUUGCAACUAUAGGUAUGGGUGGAAUUUGGACCCAAAAUUAAGAUAGUCUUUUCUUUUGCUUUUCUUUGGGGUUGUUGUGUAUGCAAGAGUUCAUGUUUCCUAAUUCACAUUUAGCAACCAGUGUGUUUCUUGUAGUCCUUAGAAAUAAGUUCACAGAAAUCACCAUGACAUUCUUGGCUCUUGAAAAUUCUUCAGUUUUCUAAUGCAUUCACACUUAUAAAACUUUUUUACUGAAAAGAAAAAACAGAAUAAAAAACAAAAAAACCUAACACACAUGCUUAUUAUUUUGUUUUCAGUUUUUGCAUGUGCAAAGUUCUAUUUUUAAAUGUAACUUAUUUCAAUAUGGUCUUGUCCUGUCCUUGGAUUUAAUUUAGUAGACUAUUUAGGGUCACAUAGUUCAGCCUCCCACACUGAGUAGCCAUCUAGCCUCCAAAUAUUAACCUACAGUACCCAUCUCCAUUUUCAGAGAGCUCCGAUGGAAAUUUCUAUGAACUAAUUCUCCUGCACAUACUUUGGUACAAGUGGGCUACUGGAGCCACCUUCCUUCGUUCAAUCAAACAGCAUUUAUUCAGCUUAUUUAAUGAACACUAUCCAAGAUACUUGGGGGACAGAAAUGAAAAGAUGGGGAGACCUGUCAAACAUAUGGUACUAUGUCUAUGCAAAAUAACAUUGGAAUGUAGAUUCACAGUGGAAGGCAGGGCAGGCAUGGAAGAAUUCUGAGAAUGAGUGUGACAGCUGACCCACAAUUAACCAGUGCAUUCUUCCCUUGGAUUCCCUAAGCUUGUGUGCCUGAUGAGCUGCUCUCCAGUUAUGCCACCAUGAUUUCCAUUCCUGAGGGAAGGCUGUGACGAAGAGCCAGGAAAAUAAGAGCACCCCUCCUACUCUCAUAGUGCAGUGGUUGAGGAUCCUUUUUUCUAUACAAUUUUAAAACUGGAAAUACACAAAAUACGCCAACAUAAUUAAAAAUAAAACUACCAUGAAAUAGCACAAAUAUUCUGCACAUGAAAUGUUAAGAACUAAAAUUUAAAAAUCUGCUUUUAGUAGGACUACAUAAAACUGAAGAAAACCAGUCAAUACAGAAUUGGGCCAAUGUACAAUUAUUCUUGAAGUAAUCCAAACACAUUAAGUUCUCUAAUAUAUCUAAAAUAAUCUAUGACAAAGGAAAUAAUCUGAAGGAAAGAAAGAAAAGAUAAUUGUGGGAAAUUCUUAUGUGUUAUACUUUUAUGUGUAGAUAAGCUGAAUGGAAAAAGAAUUAUUGUAAAAUAUUGAGAAAAGAUUAGAAGAUAUGAAAUAAUUAAGAAAAAGAGAAUAGGUAAAAGGAGACAUUGACAGAACAAGAGAAACGAAGUUAAAUUUUAAGUACCAUGGAUUGAAAUUAAAUUUAGGGAAGAUAUUUUAUAGUAUGAAUUGUUCAUCUGUAUUUAACAAGGUAUUCAUUUAUUUUGGGCGAUUUAAGGAAGGUCCUUUCUGGAAACAGGAUUACAAACAUAUGGACCUAUUUAGUCAAUUUCAACCUUGUGAUUUUGAAUCUGACAGGUUCUCAGCUGCUUUUAUUAAAUAACGGAUUUUCUUAAUAAUUACUGUACUCAAACUUAGCAAAAAGCUCUAUUUAUAGCCCAGUUUUUUAGUCACACACUAUUGUGUCUUGUCAAAUUGAAACCAUAUACUACAUUCUUUACUUAUUAAGAUGGUCUUUCUUUGUAAUAAUUUUGGAGUAAAUAGUUUACUUAUCUAAACCUCUGAUUUCUGAUUUAACAGAUUUUUGAAGCAUUUAUUUUCCUUACCAUACAUAAAAAUUGUCAGUUGAGGACAAGGAAGGAUUAACCUGGACUACGGUGAAUAAUUGUUCAGGUUGCUUACUGUGUAACUCCAGAGGAGCAUUCACAUGGUACAAUUUGCAGAUUUAAGUAUUUAUUACAACCAUUUUCUGGCAGAUAACAGUGGAACACCCUGUUCUGUUAAAAUUAGUUUAUUAUGACAAAUUGCCUACAGAUGGACAUAAACUGUUACAGAUAAAAUAAAUUACUACAAGCUCCUAAAAUGUCAUGUGCUUUACAGGUCAAUAAAAUGUAACCCAGAAUUUUGAGAGAAACAGACUUUACUACAGUCUAAAGUUUUAUGCAAAAACUGAUCAUCCCCAUUCUUUCCUUGAAUAAAGAAAAGAAGCUGUCAAUUACCAUGUAUUAAUAAGUGAGGCUCACACCUUAUAGUAACAACAAAAUUAGAAGAGAAAUAAUACGUAUGUCUAGUGUAAUGUGAUAUGCAGAAGAAAAAUUUAAAUUCUUUAAUUGUAAAGGAAAAAAGCCAAUAUGAUAAUGUUAUUUCCAAGGUGCACUUUCUGUCUGCUGAGCGAUGAAAUUAACAAGUAAAGCCAUUGGAAUAGUCAAUAAAAUCAUUUGGCUUUGGAAAGAACAGAGGUAUUUUGUUCAAUAGUUUUGUUUUCUUUAGGCUGAGACAGCAAUUAUGCCAUCAUCAUCACUUUCCAUCUUUUAGAAGGAUAUUGGUUAAAUUUUGAGUUAAUGAUUUUUUUCUCCCCAAGAUUCCUUUCUAGCCCCUAACAUUACUAUAGUCUUAAACUAUCUUCUGUUUGUCAUACAAAAUGGCUUCUCAUAGAACAACACCAAUGUCAGGGUAGGAGCUGAGGAAGAAAAAGUAAAUAAAAAUACACAAAAUCCAAACUUUGUUAUAUGUUCCAUUCAGUGGCCUUAUACAUGACUUACAAAUUUUGUUUGAAGUUUAAUUAUAACUAACCACUAUUUAAUUCGAAUUCACUGCUGGCUGUAUUUCCUGAUUCAGAGUUCCAUAUUGCUUCUAUUGCUGGUUUUAAUUUAUUUGAACCUCAGUCUUCUAAAUUGUCUCUAUUUCCUAUCCAUUAUUUUUUAUUUGCCUAGAGGUACUUGAAAAUGCAUUCAGAAAAAAAAAAUUCUUACUCACCAUUUUGUACAACUCUUCAAAACUCUAGGAUAUGCUACAUAAUGUACAUAAUAAAAGUAGUAAUUUCAACAGAAAAUCAAGAUGCCACUCGAUUUUGCCAUGGAUUUAU
This 7746-nucleotide long non-coding RNA is filed under the name Homo sapiens (human). RNAcentral's name for it is "non-protein coding MIR137HG:1". The stretch from base 786 to 856 matches the Rfam family "mir-137 microRNA precursor family". Lineage: Eukaryota; Metazoa; Chordata; Mammalia; Primates; Hominidae. The record is from RNAcentral.